RNAcentral lists this ribosomal RNA (440 nucleotides) under uncultured bacterium. RNAcentral's name for it is "partial 16S ribosomal RNA". It matches the Rfam family "Bacterial small subunit ribosomal RNA", at positions 338 to 795 of the family's 1533-position model. The record is from RNAcentral.
CCUACGGGCGGCAGCAGUGGGGAAUAUUGCACAAUGGGGGAAACCCUGAUGCAGCGACGCCGCGUGAGUGAAGAAGGAUUUCGGAAUGUAAAGCUCUAUCAGCAGGGAAGAAAAUGACGGUACCUGACGAAGAAGCCCCGGCUAACUACGUGCCAGCAUCCGCGGUAAUACGGAGGGGGCAAGCGUUAUCCGGAUGUACUGGGUGUAAAGGGAGCGUAGACGGCAGCGCAAGUCAGGAGUGAAAUGCCGGGGCUUAACCCCGGAACUGCUUUGGAAACUGUGAAGCUAGAGUGCAGGAGAGGUAAGUGGAAUUCCUGGUGUAGCGGUGAAAUGCGUAGAUAUUAGGAGGAACACUCGUGGCGAAGGCGGCUUACUGGACUGUAACUGACGUUGAGGCUCGAAAGCGUGGGGAGCAAACAGGAUUAGAUACCCGAGUAGUC